Molecule: ribosomal RNA, 468 nt
Filed under: uncultured bacterium
Lineage: Bacteria
Description: partial 16S ribosomal RNA
Rfam family: Bacterial small subunit ribosomal RNA
Source: RNAcentral
GACGAACGCUGGCGGCGUGCUUAACACAUGCAAGUCGAACGGAAAGGCCCUUCUUUUGUGGUGUUCUCGUGUGGCGCACGGGUGUGUAACACGUGAGUAACCUGCCCUUCACUUUGGUAUAACUUCGGGACACUGGGGCUAAUACCGGAUAGAAGCUCCUGCUGCAUGGUGGGUGUUGGAAAGUUUCGGGGGUUGGGGAUGGACUCGCGGCUUCUCAGCUUGUUGGUGGGGUAGUGGUUUACCAAGGCUUUGACGGGUACCCGGCCUGGGGGGGUGACCGGCAACAUGGGGACGGGGAUACGGCCAAGCUUCUAAGGGGAGGAAGAAGUGGGGAUUAUGGCAAAAGGGGCGGAGGCCGGAGGCAGCACGGCGGGGGGGGGGAGGAGGGCCUUCGGUUGGAAACCCGUUUCGGCCAGUGAGGAAGCGUGAGUGACGGUAAUGGGUAAAGAAGCACCGGCUAACUACGUG